This 355-nucleotide unclassified non-coding RNA is filed under the name soil metagenome. RNAcentral describes it as "partial contains 5.8S ribosomal RNA, internal transcribed spacer 2, and large subunit ribosomal RNA". The stretch from base 1 to 120 matches the Rfam family "5.8S ribosomal RNA", at positions 35 to 154 of the family's 154-position model. The record is from RNAcentral.
GAUGAAGAACGUAGCGAAAUGCGAUAAGUAGUGUGAAUUGCAGAAUUCAGUGAAUCAUCGAAUCUUUGAACGCACAUUGCGCCUUCUAGUAUUCUGGGAGGCAUGCCUGUUUGAGCGUCAUUAAACCUCUCUCAAGUAUGAUUACUUGGAUGUGAAGGAAGAGUACCUUAAACUUAAGGAGUGUUCUCCUUUGAAAUUGAUUAGCAGAUGGUAAUGUUAUUAAAUCCCUGAUGUUGUAAGAAAUAACAGUGGUUUUGUAGACUAUUAUCUAGCUUUAAAUUAUAAUUUUUAUUAUGGUUGACCUCAAAUAAGGUAAGGAUACCCGCUGAACUUAAGCAUAUCAAUAAGCGGAGGA